This 505-nucleotide ribosomal RNA is filed under the name uncultured bacterium. RNAcentral's name for it is "partial 16S ribosomal RNA". It matches the Rfam family "Bacterial small subunit ribosomal RNA", at positions 899 to 1397 of the family's 1533-position model. The record is from RNAcentral.
ACUCAAAUGAAUUGACGGGGGCCCGCACAAGCGGCGGAGCGCGUUGCUUAAUUCGAAGCAAAGCGAAGAACCUUACCCAGGCUUGACAUGCGAGAAGUAGGCGCCUGAAAGGGUGGCCAACCCGUAAAGUCGGGUACUCGUGCAGGUGUUGCAUGGCUGUCGUCAGCUCGUGCCGUGAGGUGUUGGCUUAAGUGCCGCAACGAGCGCAACCCCCAUCACAUGUUGCCACCAGGUAAUGCUGAGCACUCAUGUGAGACUGCCGGGGAAACCCCGGAGGAAGGAGGGGAUGACGUCAAGUCAGCAUGGCCCUUACGCCUGGGGCUGCAAACGCGCUACAAUGCGUGGUACAACGGGCUGCGAGACCGCAAGGUGGAGCGAAUCCCAAAAAACCACGCUCAGUUCGGAUUGGGGUCUGCAACUCGACCCCAUGAAGUCGGAGUCGCUAGUAAUGGCAGAUCAGCAUGCUGCCGUGAAUGCGUUCCCGGGCCUUGUACACACCGCCCGU